ACUAGUGAUUUCCGUAGGUGAACCUGCGGAAGGAUCAUUCGCACAAAGAAUAUCUUUUACACCCGCCACGCACCACACAGUGCUUUCUGUUUUUAAUCAGGAUUUAUAUCCAACUCGUCGAUGUUGCGAUUCCAUUGCAAUGUAUGCGAUGUUAUCUAUCCCUUGCGACGACGAAUGCCUUGGCUCGAGGAUCGUUGAAGGACGCAGCGAACUGUGCUAAACAUCUCGAAUUGCAGAUUUCCGAGAAAGAAAAGGAUUCUGAACGCACUUUGCGAAUUGACCUCGUGUCAGUUCACUUGAUUGGCGGUGACCGCAAUAUGCAGUCGCUCGAACUCCGAAGUUUGAGUGGUGUGCACGUGUUGUUGCAGAUUGUUGCACCGACAUGUUCGUAGAAUUCGACGCGCCUCUCGUUUUCGAGCAGCAUUAUGACUUCGUGUUAUGAUGUUCGAAAACAGGGACCGUUUCUUGUUUGGUUUUCCAAACGAUUCUUUCGCACGCUCACGACCAGUCAAGGGAUUACCCGCUGAAUUUAAGCAUAUCAAU
RNAcentral lists this ribosomal RNA (543 nucleotides) under uncultured eukaryote. Its description in RNAcentral is "eukaryotic LSU rRNA". The stretch from base 160 to 312 matches the Rfam family "5.8S ribosomal RNA". The record is from RNAcentral.